This 490-nucleotide ribosomal RNA is filed under the name uncultured bacterium. Its description in RNAcentral is "partial 16S ribosomal RNA". It matches the Rfam family "Bacterial small subunit ribosomal RNA", at positions 28 to 507 of the family's 1533-position model. The record is from RNAcentral.
GAUGAACGCUAGCUACAGGCUUAACACAUGCAAGUCGCGGGGCAGCAUGGGGGUUGCUUGCCAUCCCCGAUGGCGACCGGCGCACGGGUGAGUAACGCGUAUCCAACCUGCCCUUCACCACGGGCUAACCCGGCGAAAGUCGGACUAAUACCGUAUGUUGUCCAUUGACGGCAUCCGAUUUGGACGAAAGGCUUGGCGGGCAGGGAUGGGGAUGCGUCCUAUUAGCCAGAAGGCGGGGUAACGGCCCACCUUGGCUACGAUCGGUAGGGGUUAUGAGAGGAAGGUCCCCCACACUGGAACGGAGACACGGUCCAGACUCCUACGGGAGGCAGCAGUGAGGAAUAUUGGUCAAUGGGCGUAAGCCUGAACCAGCCAAGUAGCGUGCAGGAUGACGGCCCUAUGGGUUGUAAACUGCUUUUAUGCGGGGAUAAAGUGGCCCACGUGUGGGCUUUUGCAGGUACCGCAUGAAUAAGGACCGGCUAAUUCCGUG